GACGAACGCUGGCGGCGUGCUUAACACAUGCAAGUCGAACGGAAAGGCCCUGCUUUUGUGGGGUGCUCGAGUGGCGAACGGGUGAGUAACACGUGAGUAACCUGCCCUUAACUUUGGGAUAACUUCAGGAAACUGGGGCUAAUACCGGGUAGGAGCUCCUGCUGCAUGGUGGGGGUUGGAAAGUUUCGGCGGUUGGGGAUGGACUGGCGGCUUAUCAGCUUGUUGGUGGGGUAGUGGCUUACCAAGGCUUUGACGGGUAGCCGGCCUGAGAGGGUGACCGGCAACAUUGGGACUGAGAUACGGCCAAGACUCCUACGGGAGGCAGCAGUGGGGAAUAUUGCACAAUGGGCGGAAGCAUGAUGCAGCAACGCAGCGUGCCGGAUGACGGCCUUCGGAUUGUAAACCGCUUUCGCCUGUGACGAAGCGUGAGUGACGGUAAUGGGUACAGAAGCACCGGCUAACUACGUG
RNAcentral lists this ribosomal RNA (468 nucleotides) under uncultured bacterium. RNAcentral's name for it is "partial 16S ribosomal RNA". It matches the Rfam family "Bacterial small subunit ribosomal RNA", at positions 28 to 507 of the family's 1533-position model. The record is from RNAcentral.